Molecule: ribosomal RNA, 403 nt
Filed under: uncultured bacterium
Lineage: Bacteria
Description: bacterial SSU rRNA
Rfam family: Bacterial small subunit ribosomal RNA
Source: RNAcentral
UGGGGAAUCUUGCGCAAUGGGCGAAAGCCUGACGCAGCCAUGCCGCGUGAAUGAUGAAGGUCUUAGGAUUGUAAAAUUCUUUCACCGGGGACGAUAAUGACGGUACCCGGAGAAGAAGCCCCGGCUAACUUCGUGCCAGCAGCCGCGGUAAUACGAAGGGGGCUAGCGUUGCUCGGAAUUACUGGGCGUAAAGGGAGCGUAGGUGGACUGUUUAGUCAGAGGUGAAAGCCCAGGGCUCAACCUUGGAAUUGCCUUUGAUACUGGCAGUCUUGAGUACGGAAGAGGUAGGUGGAACUCCGAGUGUAGAGGUGAAAUUCGUAGAUAUUCGGAAGAACACCAGUGGCGAAGGCGACAUACUGGUCCGUUACUGACACUGAGGCUCGAAAGCGUGGGGAGCAAACAG